GCCUGGUGGUUCCUUGAGACGGCUCAUCCGUGCUGAUACUUGAGGUUAUAUUUGACAGGCACAUAUUGAUCUCUGUGAUUAAUGCUUGGAAGCUGCCGAUUUCAUGCGUCUUCCAUAGCCCGGUUGCAGAGACAUGA
This is a small nucleolar RNA of Myxocyprinus asiaticus (Chinese sucker), 137 nucleotides long. RefSeq annotates it as small nucleolar RNA SNORA84. The record is from RefSeq and is a predicted model, not a curated record. The transcript has a single exon. Lineage: Eukaryota; Metazoa; Chordata; Actinopteri; Cypriniformes; Catostomidae.